GUAGUCCUAGCUGUAAACGAUGCAUACUGGAUGUAGGAGGGCUCAACCCUUUCUGUAUCGGAGCUAACGCGUUAAGUAUGCCGCCUGGGGAGUACGCUCGCAAGGGUGAAACUCAAAAGAAUUGACGGGGGCCCGCACAAGCAGUGGAGCAUGUGGUUUAAUUCGAUGCAACGCGAAGAACCUUACCUGGGCUCGAAAUGUAGAGGACUGUACUAGAGAUAGUGCAUCCCGAAAGGGUCUCUAUAUAGGUGCUGCAUGGCUGUCGUCAGCUCGUGCCGUGAGGUGUUUGGUUAAGUCCAGCAACGAGCGCAACCCUUAUCGUUAGUUGCCAACGCGUAAUGGCGGGAACUCUAACGAGACUGCCUAGGUUAACUAGGAGGAAGGUGAGGAUGACGUCAAGUCCGCAUGGCCUUUAUGUCCAGGGCUACACACGUGCUACAAUGGUCGCCACAGAAGGCAGCGAAACCGCGAGGUGGAGCAAAUCCUAGAAAGGCGAUCUCAGUUCAGAUUGCAGUCUGCAACUCGGCUGCGUGAAGUCGGAAUCGCUAGUAAUCGCGAAUCAGAAUGUCGCGGUGAAUA
RNAcentral lists this ribosomal RNA (579 nucleotides) under uncultured Chlamydiales bacterium. RNAcentral's name for it is "bacterial SSU rRNA". It matches the Rfam family "Bacterial small subunit ribosomal RNA", at positions 790 to 1368 of the family's 1533-position model. Lineage: Bacteria; Pseudomonadati; Chlamydiota; Chlamydiia; Chlamydiales. The record is from RNAcentral.